Non-coding RNA from Equus caballus (horse), 7138 nucleotides. The record is from RefSeq and is a predicted model, not a curated record. Lineage: Eukaryota; Metazoa; Chordata; Mammalia; Perissodactyla; Equidae.
GGCCAGGUCACCUUGGGUUUCUCUAGCUGGGGCCGCCUUAAUCCACAUCACAAUGAGCCAUCCGCUCAUUCAACAAAUAUUUAAGUCUUUACGUAUGCCUGAUCCAAUAGUGAGUAAGAUGGAGUUUCUUUCCGAAGGACUUCACACUCUGGAGGAAGACAGUCACUGAAACAUGUAAUUAAGAAUGUUAUGAGUGUUCUAAAACGGUUUGGAGGGGUGGCGUGAGGCAUUUGACAAGCACAGGGGAGUAAACCAGGAUGUGCACGCUCGGGCGGAGGGCAUCCGAGGCUGAAGGCACGGCAUGGGCGAAGGUUCAGGCAGGGGCUUGAAAGCACACGGAUUAAGGCAAUAAACAGCCAGGAGCAGUUUGGCUGGACCAUAACAUGGGUGGCAGAGGGGACAGAAGCGCAAUUUGGGGCCAAGCGGUGAAAGGUCCAGAUGCCAGGCUGAGUUGGACUUUCUCCUUCAAGCAGUGGGAAGAUAUUCAAAGUUGAAGCACGGAGGGGGACGUGGUCAGAUCUGCAUCUGAGAGAGACCUCUGGAAUACACUCCACUGGGAGAGACCAGCUUUGUUUCUGCUCACUGCUUGUAGCCGCCGGUAUCAAGGGGAGGCUGGGUUAUGCCGCGGUGAGCAAUCACCCCAGGCCCAGUGCCCUGAAACACCGGAAGUUCACCCCUUUCCCAAACUACACAUUCAUCACGGGCCACCACGGGGCUCUCCCGUCUGGACGCCCCGGGACGCGCGCUGGAGGAGCCGCGCCCGGCCCCGCGUCGCCGGCUGCCGGGAGGGGAGCGCUCCGGGCGCCUCCGCGCGGCGGCGUCUGAAAGGGUCGCGCGCGCCCUCGCGCCGCGGGACCGGGCCGGGAAGCACCGUCCCGCCGUGUGCCGAGAAGGCUAAACUGGCACCGUCUGGUGAUGACUAGUUGUUAUUAACGCUUGGUAUUUUCUAAUUGAAGAAACGAAUCGAUUCCAGAGAGGAAGAGGUCAUCCGAUGAAGUCUCGUCUCGAGGAAACGGAGCCGAGCAGGCCGGGGCACGGGGACGCGCACUCAGCGGGCGAGCCGGGCGCACGACCGCGCUUCCGGUCCGGGCGGGCCCGCGCCCGGCGUCCGGCUUCCGGCCGCCACCUCGGCGUCCGGGGGCCGUGGCGAGGCGCUGGGCCCUGGAAGUUAGCGUCGGUCGCGCCGGGCGGCGGCCAGGCCCGACUCGGGGCAGCGUGCAGGCGCCCUCCACGCGUCCCCUCACUUCCUGAGGAAGAGCAGGACCACGCGCCUUCUAUGGCCAAGAGAAGGACGAGACUCCCUGGAACCCCGCUGUGCUGCGGAAGCUGGCGCAAGUCCCUGCCUCUCCCCGGCCCUCGGCCCUCAGCCCUCAGCUUCGCGGGCUGUAGGCGCCUCAAGCGGGCGGGGCGCGGCGCGCUGACGUCACGCCGUCCCGGCCUGCGCUGGCGCUGACGUCACCCCGCUGCGCGCUCGCCCCCUGCGUCUGCCGGUGUGGCAGAGGGCCUGGCGGGCGUGAGGCAGAGUGGCGUCGGCUUGUCCCCAUGGCCUUGGCCUCUUCAGAGGGGCGUGUGUGGGCCGAGGGGGCGCCCGGGCUGACGGUGGCGCUGCGGCCGCGUGCAGUGGGCGCCAGGUGCCCUCUAGUCCGAGCUGCUUUGAGGCGUUGUGUACGCGGGUUGCCUCUAGUCCUCUUUCCCACGCGCUCUGCAGUUCAUUCCACCUGUUAAAGAUUCGUUAGUUUUGAAAGGUAAAACCACACAAAUAUAUUUGAAUGCAAAUAUACAAAUAGAAGAGGAAAACGUGUGAGUUUAACUCCUGGAACCUGUAAGACUGUACAAAGCAUCCUGAGAACCACGUAAAUACUCUGAAGUGGUCUAGAGUGAAUUUACACCGCUCCUUCCUCUACUUCCAGUGGAUCAGAAGUUCUUCUCGCUCAGCCUCUAAGAUGGAGUCAGCUCUCCGUUUUCACAAACACCACCUGGGUCCUGUCGACGAAAAUAAUCCAUGAACAAUCUAUAAAUGAAAAUUCGGGGAAGGGCCUCCCUGGAAGAAGGCCAGACUCAGGAGCCAUGCCAUGCCCCCCGAUCAUCUGAAGCCCCAUCUAUGCCAUACCUUAAGGCCACAAGUCUCUCUCAGCCCUGAAGUCCUUGCUGCUCUUUCUACCAUCUGCUCUAUCCAGCCACUUUCAAGUCUAGACUACUUGGUUUGUGCUUUUCUUUCCAGGAUUGGUCCCUAGGCAGCCUCCUCGAUGCUUUGGGGCAGCAAGAGUGGUUCCCCAGUUCUGGGGCCUACCUACAAAAUUUCUGUGCAGGAUUCAGUGGUCCAGUACCUCUUCUCCAGCCUUCCUUGCACACACCAGGGGUUUCUGGGCCUCUGGGGACUCUUAGGAAAAUUUUGUCAUGUCUCUAGUGGUCAGGCAGCCACAAACACUUGCAGCUUCCAGGAUGACUUAGAAUAUGUUCUAGGGGCUCAGGCGGGACAAGAUAUCCUCCCUGAGCAUUUCCUGUAGAAAUUGUUGGUCUGGACAUCGGGAGGGAUACCUAGGAUGUGAGGUGAGGUUUGGGCGCUGUUUACAGCUCCAAAGCCCUGAGCAUGAUGCUCUGACCUCACAGCAUCUGUGAGACCUAAAAUUUGCUUUGUAGAGCCUUCUUUGGAUUAUACAAGCUCAAACUGGUUCUGAACUGAGGAGUACCCCUGGAAGGAACACAUUCAAGGUUGUCCUUCUAAUGUCUGGCUUGCUGACCUCUCCUUGAUGUGAACAACAUAAUAAUUUCAUGUAUGUAUACACUGUGAAAUAAUUGCCAUAAUUCAGUUAGGUUACACAUCCGUCACUUCAUAUAGUUACAGUUUAUUUUUGGUGUGAACUUUUAAGAGCUACUCUCUUAGCAACUUUCAAAUAUAUAAUACAGUAUAGUUAACUGUGGUCACCAUGUUGUACAUUACAUUCCCAGAACAUAUUCGUCUUAUUACUGGAAGAUUGUGCCCUUUGACCACGUUCAUCCAUUUGCCCCAGCCCCCCUCUGCCCAAAGCAAUGAUCACUUCACCUAAGUAGGUCUGGAGUCGGGGACCUUUUCCUCAUUCCCACAAAGGUGCUGUAUAGUCUAGUUGGGACCCUGAGACCACUGGAGAACACAUGUGAAGGCCACCAGGUAUCUCUUGAACCACUGGGAUGCACUGGGAAAUAUGACAUGGUGUUUACUCAUUUGAAAUUAGGAUUCUUUGGAGAUUUCUGUUCUGUUGAGAAGCUCUGAGAGUCUAUGACACAUUGGGGCAAGAUGACCUAGGAAAAUGGCCUUCUACGUGUUUGGAAUCCAGAUGUCACUCAUCUGUUGUUUUCCAGGAAUUAGGUAAUUUCAGUUUUCCCUUUGGUAUCUCUUUCUACCAAUUACAAAGCCAGCUCUCACACUGAUUCCAUAGAUGACAUGACAAUUAUGUGCCGUGAGGAACAUGAGAUGACAGCAUCCCUUCCCUGUAACCACAUUUUGUGGCCCCAUGUCACAUACAGCUUCACUCCAAAGCGCCAGCUGGUGUCUAUAUCUCAGCGUCAUUGACAGUGAAUGCUCAAGACUCUAGAUGGGUAGUUAGAUGAGACAGGAUUUCCUUAGUGCAAUGUUCAGUUCUCAUAAUUUUGGCCUUAAGCCUCAUUGAAUUAUAACUUCCAACAGUAGAUGUUUUCAGAUGAAAAAUAAAUGUCAUUAAUCUUAUGAGAACAUAAAUUUAUAGACUUUUUGAAGGAAUUUUUUUCUGUUCUAUGUGAAUUUGUAUUUUGACUUUUUCUAGUUUGAGUAAAUUAUCUCAACUACAAAUAGUUUAUUCAUUUAUGUGAAAUUUUGUUUUGUAAAACAUGAGUCUGAAUUAAUCAGAAUGAUUUAGUCAUAGUUCUUUGUUCUUUUAGAUUUGGAGAUAUUUUUGUAUGUUUCUAAUAUCUUAGGGCUGUUUAAAAUUAAGGUGUCAUAAGACAUGUGAUGUGUUCAACAUUUUACAAUAAUGAGAUUUUACCAAGUGACCAGAAAAAUCAUGUUGUUUCAUUCCAUUAUAGUAUUUGAUAACAGAGGGAUUUUUUUACUUGUUACCACAAACUAUCUGUAAAUAUCACCUUCUGAUGUUUAUUAAAUAUCUGUACAGUUAAUGACCACCUUAUAUGAAUGAGGGCAAAUAAUAUUCAGCAUGAUCUGAAAUAUUAACUUAAAAUAAUAAAUUUACUUUUAGUAUUUUAUGUUUUCUUAAUAAACUGAAACAUAAAAUAUACUCUAUAUUAGCUUGAGAUGUUUAGUAAUGACAAUAAUUUGCAAAAUUUAAGGACAUAGCAUUCUUAUAAAACAUACCUUCUAAUUUAGUAAUUCUGCCUUUUCCUUUGAAAGUUUCAAAUUUUAAUUUACUCAGAAAAACAUAUAUUCCCAAAAAGUGACAAGUAAAUUUCAAUUUAGUUGUUGAAACUCACAAGUCAACAUUGUCUAGAUUCAGUAGGGUUAGUGUCUUCUAGUGUCUUUAAAAUGGAAGACAGAGAGGAUAGAAUCAGGAUAGGUUGAAAACAGAAAAGAACAAAAUGAUGAGGACAGAAAUUGUCUAUCUGUCAUCCAUGAGGACACCAAAACCUCAGGAAACUUGAAAAGUGGAAAAAGCCUCUGAACAUUAGAGAAGUUUUAGUUUGUUGAAAUACACUUCAUGUUGAAAGUCCCUGCAUUUCAGGCAUGUAGGAGGGAGAAUGUCUGAGAGGCUGGCACUGACUGAUCUUGAAGAGAGCACCUGAUGCACAGAGGACAUGUCCUCCGUUUCCUUCCAAAUUCGAUAACUGAUGCAGUUGCUAUGAGUCUUAACUUCUUGUUACUGUGAUGCACAGGAAAAUGAUGGUAAAAGAUGUUGCAGGCUUUUAGAGAAAAAGACUAUUCUAUUUUGCUCAUAUCUUCUUGGUUCUGGCGGUCAGUAAAGCACACUGCUAGGCAGGAGCCUUAGUGUUUCCAAAAAUUUAUAGCACAUGACUAGUGGUGAAGCCCCUCUGCUGUCUUUCUCUCUUCUGCCUUUGCAAUGAUACUUCUCCUUCCCAUGUUUUCCUCAGGAGCCCUAAGAUUAAAAUGUCUUGAGAUUAUGAAUAUCCUUGUCAGCGAGCAUUUUGCCUCCAGCUGCACUCUAUACUAAGUUAAAUUGCCAAAGAAUAUUAGGUGCAUUUCAGUGAUUCAACAGUAACUUAUACUCGUCAUAAUUAUACUUAUAUUUCACAAAGUUCUUUUCAUUGAACUGACUGGGUAGAAAGGCAUUUUUCUUUCUGCAAUUGUCAGCUGUGUUUCUCAAGUUACCAGUGACUGCUACUGAACCUACUAACACCCCUUCAGCAGGUCACCUGCAAUUGUAACAACUUUUUGCUGUUGAUGACCGUUCAUUUACAAAAAUGUUCAUAGAUAUGGUGAAAUUGAAGAAAAUGAUUUUCUUUUUUAUUAUAAAACAAAAUGCACAACUUUAUUUUGUGAUAUAUAUAAUUAUACACCAUACAAAUACAAAGAACUGUAUUAAAAUGGCAUUAAUAAAGUAUACAACUCAUAAUAUUAUUAUGAAGAUGAGGAAACAGAUUUCAUCAAGCUUCAUUAUCUCCAAAGUCACAUAGCUGUCUUAUGCAAAAUAGCACAUGGGUUCUUGUAAAUGGCUUCUUUCUUUCAUUACACUUAUUCUUUUUAUUUCAUGUGUCUGAUCUAAAGCGAUUUCCUGGUCCCUUUAAUGGUGUUAUUUUUGCAGUUUUACCCAUGAUUAUGAAUAUACUUUGGGGCCUACAAUAUUUGGAAUAGUCUAUGGUAAACAAGCCGUGAGCAUGAACUUGAUGUGCAUUGCCUGUCUUCUGAGAGUGCUCAGGAGUUUCCUCCUCAUCCCAGAGAACCCCACUGUUUGAGAUAGGCACUCAGUUUUAUAAAUUUUUAACUUGUCCUUUAGGACCCAGUUAUCCUUUGUACUCUAACCAAACUACAUGGCCUUUAUGGGAUUUUCUUCUAAUCUGUUUCUCCCAAGUGUGUACCAUGUUUUCAGAUCCCAUGAUUCUUUUAUAGUGGGGUUGCCACAUUCACCAGUGAAAAUACAGGAUACACAGUUAAGUUUAAAAUUCUGAAAUCCAAAAAAUAGCUUUUUAGUAUAAUUAUGCAAUGUUUGCAUUUUUUCAAAUUUAAGCUAUCUUAUUAACCAUAGAUAUGGAAUUUUCCUUAUAAGUGCUACCAAAACAUUAAUGGAAUAUGGUAUUCGAUUUAAAUGUUCGGCCAAAUGUUCGGCCAAGAGUGAUUUGCUGCUUACAAAGAAACACCUACUGUUACUUGCUAAGUAGAAUGAACACUAAGGCAUUAGAGACAAAACUGGAAGAUCACUUACUUUCCAGUAGUUGAUGUCUUGUCAUUUGACUCCAUAAUUUUGGUUUCAUGGUUCUCAAAAUAAACAAGAAAAUGCUUUGGUAAUAAUCAAUAAGGAUGUUUCAGAUGUAUUGAAACCCCCAGCUGCUGUUGCUGUUGGAGAUGCUGGAGGAAUGGGCGGCAUAGCCUGCAAUGCCACAGUUCCCCAGGCCCUGCCAAGGGAGUGGCUUCAUGGGGCACAGAAGCAGCCGCGGUACUGCCCAAGGCACGGGGCACCUGAGAGGGGAACCUUCCUGCUGCCACCUGAAGUCCCAUUGGCCCCUCUGCUGCUGCUGAAAGGUCAAUCAGAGCCACGGGACCUGUGGAUGUGGCUGUUGGCCACUCUGAUUGGUGCCCUUGCCCCCUGUGCCUAGGGCCAGGCCACGUGCCCCUCUUAGAGCUUUAAGCACCACAAUGAGCAGUCACAUAACAGAAUAUGAACAACAUACUGAGGCCCUGACCUCAUAGGACACAUCAUGUUGUAGGAACAGCUGGUACGGACUAAAUGUUUUGCAAAAUCCUUUCAUACUUUCUAUUUAUUAAAUGUUGCAAUGGAGAUUGAGAGUCUAAGAAUUCAUUAAACAAAAAAUAGGGCCUCAUAAUUUGGAGACAAUGGAAAGUUUGUAGGGCUAUGUAACUUUAAACCAUUUAAUUAAAAUUGCUCUAGAAUUAAUGGGGCACAGAACUGUAAGAAGAGUUUAAUGAAAUGGAAAAUGAUGAUCGAGACAAUAAGAAAACACAGUGACUCUGUAACAAGUGGCCUGGGAUGGAGGUGGA